UCUCAGUUCGGAUUGUAGUCUGCAACCCGACUACAUGAAGCUGGAAUCGCUAGUAAUCGCGAAUCAGAAUGUCGCGGUGAAUACGUUCCCGGGCCUUGUACACACCGCCCGUCACACCAUGAGAGUCGGGAACACCCGAAGUCCGUAGUCUAACCGCAAGGAGGGCGCGGCCGAAGGUGGGUCCGGUAAUUGGGGUGAAGUCGUAACAAGGUAGC
This 215-nucleotide ribosomal RNA is filed under the name uncultured bacterium. RNAcentral describes it as "partial 16S ribosomal RNA". It matches the Rfam family "Bacterial small subunit ribosomal RNA", at positions 1286 to 1500 of the family's 1533-position model. The record is from RNAcentral.